UUCAUAAGUUUUUGUUUGUGUUUUUCCUUUCUUCUCUGUUCUCUCUCUUCCCUCUCGCUCUUCUCUCCGUGACUCAGCUAGCGAGGACAGAGAGCUGUUGACGUCCGAACACCGGCGAAUCGGACCUCAUCGUUACCACCAGUCGUCUCCCCUUCAUCUCAGGAACAAGAAACAGCUGUUGCAUGCCUCGGAUUGUUACUAUUUCGACGAGGGUUUACGAACUUAACCCCGAUUGUAUUUUCCAUCUCUCUCUUUCUGCACUUUCGAUAAGUUACGGUUUUUCACGUUCUUUUGAAAGCACAUUGAUUUUGUGUUAAUUUGAGUCUUUAUGUUAUGAAUUCUGAUAUUUUUCGUUUAAUUUGGGUUGUUGGAGUUUCGAAUUUGUACCCUGACUUUGCUCUAAUGAAUUUUAAUUUCGUCUGUUAUUGGUGGGUUUGAGUAAAUUUCGAACCUUUUAAUUUCGCCGUGCCCACCAUCAAGUACUUGAUCGGCCUUGGCGCCAAAGUUAUCCUUGCUUCUCACUUGGUAAUUCAUGGCUUCGAUUAAUCCGCAAUAUUCCUUACCAUUUUUACUAUUUUAGAAUAUGGAUUCUGUUUGUUUGGGAAUUAAAUGUAUCGGUUUGUGUUGGUUUGUAAGAUUUGUGUGUUUUGAAUCUAUUAGUUUCUUUAUUGAAGUUGUUCUGAACUCUAAAAAUUACUGAUUGGAUCUACUUUGCAUGAUCAGCUUGGAUCUUAUAAGUUUGAUUGAUAAGGAUUGCGAUGGAUUUGCUGCUUGAUCAAUAUUGAUCAAUUUGAAGAUCCCCAUUUUGUUUUACCAUUCUAUAUGUUUUUUUAGUUAUCGUAUUAUUUUGACCAUAUUAUUUGCUUUAAGUUUGUGCCCAGUAUUGGAGUUUCUGAUAACUUUUAGUUUACUUGUUUAUGUAUUCGCUGAUGUUGCAUCUUAGUUAGGAUUGUGUUUGUCUUUGUAAGGAGAUGGAGAUCGGUGACGAUGAUCAGGAGUUCGGCGCUGUGUGGAUGAUCCCGGUGUAGGCUCUGGUUUUCAAACUCUGGUGAUUUGUAGGGUUUUGGGGGCGUGAAUUUUUGGGGAUUUCAUUUGGAUUUCUGGCCCUGAAUUUUGCAAGGACUGUCUGCCCUGUAUGUACACCAGAUGCUCCUGACAUUUCAAAUAAGAUGUUGCCAUGUCAAGGAGUUCAAGUUUUGCUUAAUAGGUAACAGUUGUUUUUAAGCUUAGUCUGUAAUCUGUAUGGUCUUUAUCAUGUCGUUUAUUUUGGUGGCAGUUAGGUGUCACUAGAUGGACUACUAAAGCAGCUAAGGGUAUUGAAAUCAGUUAUGCUUGAUUGGUGGUGGGAAAUAUGCAUGGUGGAUUCGAUCAAACUCUAUUUUCCUUUUUUUGGGUUUUAUUAGUUUAUAUGAAUUUUAAUAUAUUUUAUAAAUGAGUAAUGAGAAGAAAUUUUUUUUUUAAAAAAAAAAUUACCAGGUUAAUGCUGGGUUUUAUGUUCUAAUUUAUGGGUUUUGGUAAAAAGAGGUUUAGAUAUUUAGUUUUGAUUGCUCUGUUUUAUUUGCUCUAGGGUUUUGGAGAGUUUGAAUUUGGGAUCUUGGAAAAGCGCAAGAAAAAUAUUUCAAUCAAGUUUUAAAAGGAAGUUUCAAAGUGUAUCUGAAUGCAGGACAAGAGAAUAAUGUGAUGAGCCUCAAGAACGGUGAAGUAAGAAAUUAAGUCCUGAGAAGUAAAGCAUGUGAAUCAAUUAAAGGAAAUUUAGAGCUUUUUCCUUAGUAAUUAUGAGUUUUGAGUAGUAUAAUGAUCAAUAUAGUGGUUUCCUAUAUACGAGAGACUAAUCUCAAGGAUUUCAAGGGCCAGGUAUUUACGAUUCGACAACAUAUCUGUGAGUUGGCUUUUAUUUCCAACAUAUAUAUGAUGUGUUUAUAUGAAAUAUUGUGUUAUCAUGCCAUGCAUUCAUUUGUGUUAGUACUUAUUCUGCAGUCGGAACGAGCUUCACGUGUAUGUUCACACUCAUGCACUUACACUCAGAAUGGAUCCAUUUAGUGCAAGCCUAUACUAGUUUGCCUUAGGCGGGUGUAACACGCUUAGCGUGAGCUUGACAUGAUUAUAGUACUUGAGCGUAAAUUUAUACAUAGAGCUUGUUCAUGGUAGAAUAUAUCUCUGCAUGUACUCGUACUAAAUUGGUGUGUUUUUAGUUGAAUAAUGAUGUAAAUUGAGCUUCUUUAUGGGAAGUUACUUGUCACAUUGACAUUGAUAUGCUAUUGUGCCUCAGAAAAGAAGACAAAGGAUAAGCACAAAAGUAAACAUCACAAAGGCGAUCGUCUCUCGGGGGCAAUCUUCAUGAACUUGUACUUUCCAGUUCGAACAAAUAAUUUUAAAUUCACUUGGAACUUUGGUUUGUAACUUAAUUUUUUGCUUUUCGAUUUGUAACUUAUUUUAUUUUGAUUACAUGUUUUUUUUUUUAAUUUAAGUGGUUUGCUAGUAUAUUACUAAUGAUACAUUCAUAAAAUGAUGAGCAUGAUUUGCUACUAGUUUGUUGGUAUAAAAUUAGAACUUGUGUAAAGAACCGUGGUGAUAAAUAGAAUUUGUAUGUAUUGGGCUUAA
Molecule: non-coding RNA, 2601 nt
Organism: Malus domestica (apple)
Lineage: Eukaryota; Viridiplantae; Streptophyta; Magnoliopsida; Rosales; Rosaceae
Source: RefSeq, a predicted model, not a curated record